Molecule: ribosomal RNA, 446 nt
Filed under: uncultured bacterium
Lineage: Bacteria
Description: partial 16S ribosomal RNA
Rfam family: Bacterial small subunit ribosomal RNA
Source: RNAcentral
CCUACGGGGGGCAGCAGUCGAGAAUCAUUCACAAUGGGGGAAACCCUGAUGGUGCGACGCCGCGUGGGGGAAUGAAGGUCUUCGGAUGGUAAACCCCUGUCAUGUGGGAGCAAAUUAAAAAGAUAGUACCACAAGAGGAAGAGACGGCUAACUCUGUGCCAGCAGCCGCGGUAAUACAGAGGUCUCAAGCGUUGUUCGGAAUCACUGGGGGUAAAGCGUGCGUAGGCUGUUUCGUAAGUCGUGUGUGAAAGGCGCGGGCUCAACCCGCGGACGGCACAUGAUACUGCGAGACUAGAGUAAUGGAGGGGGAACCGGAAUUCUCGGUGUAGCAGUGAAAUGCGUAGAUAUCGAGAGGAACACUCGUGGCGAAGGCGGGUUCCUGGACAUUAACUGACGCUGAGGCACGAAGGCCAGGGGAGCGAAAGGGAUUAGAUACCCUGGUAGUC